Molecule: ribosomal RNA, 483 nt
Filed under: uncultured bacterium
Lineage: Bacteria
Description: bacterial SSU rRNA
Rfam family: Bacterial small subunit ribosomal RNA
Source: RNAcentral
GACGAACGCUGGCGGCGUGCCUAAUACAUGCAAGUCGAACGCACUCUCGUUUAGAUUGAAGGAGCUUGCUCCUGAUUGAUAAACAUUUGAGUGAGUGGCGGACGGGUGAGUAACACGUGGGUAACCUGCCCUAAAGUGGGGGAUAACAUUUGGAAACAGAUGCUAAUACCGCAUAAAACCUAACACCGCAUGGUGUAGGGUUGAAAGAUGGUUUCGGCUAUCACUUUAGGAUGGACCCGCGGUGCAUUAGUUAGUUGGUGAGGUAAAGGCUCACCAAGACCGUGAUGCAUAGCCGACCUGAGAGGGUAAUCGGCCACACUGGGACUGAGACACGGCCCAGACUCCUACGGGAGGCAGCAGUAGGGAAUCUUCCCACAAUGGACGAAAGUCUGAUGGAGCAACGCCGCGUGAGUGAAGAAGGUUUUCGGAUCGUAAAACUCUGUUGUUGGAGAAGAAUGUAUCUGAUAGUAACUGAUCAGGUAG